Molecule: ribosomal RNA, 416 nt
Filed under: bacterium enrichment culture clone ALO1_GLFRUDD03FPNU2
Lineage: Bacteria
Description: bacterial SSU rRNA
Rfam family: Bacterial small subunit ribosomal RNA
Source: RNAcentral
GAGUUUGAUCGUGGCUCAGAUUGAACGCUGGCGGCAUGCCUUACACAUGCAAGUCGAACGGCAGCACGGGAGCUUGCUCCUGGUGGCGAGUGGCGAACGGGUGAGUAAUGCAUCGGAACGUAUCCUGGAGUGGGGGAUAACGUAGCGAAAGUUACGCUAAUACCGCAUAUUCUGUGAGCAGGAAAGCGGGGGACCUUCGGGCCUCGCGCUCUUGGAGCGGCCGAUGUCGGAUUAGCUAGUUGGUGAGGUAAAGGCUCACCAAGGCGACGAUCCGUAGCAGGUCUGAGAGGAUGAUCUGCCACACUGGAACUGAGACACGGUCCAGACUCCUACGGGAGGCAGCAGUGGGAAUUUUGGACAAUGGGGGCAACCCUGAUCCAGCCAUGCCGCGUGAGUGAAGAAGGCCUCGGUGUAAG